UACGUAGGUGGCAAGCGUUAUCCGGAUUUAUUGGGCGCAAAGGGAACGCAGGCGGUCUUUUAAGUCUGAUGUGAAAGCCUUCGGCUUAACCGGAGUAGUGCAUUGGAAACUGGGAGACUUGAGUGCAGAAGAGGAGAAUGGAAUUCCUAGUGUAGCGGUGAAAUGCGUAGAGAUUAGGAAGAACACCAGUGGCGAAGGCGAUUCUCUGGGCUGUAACUGACGCUGAGGCUCGAAAGCGUGGGGAGCAAACAGG
This 253-nucleotide ribosomal RNA is filed under the name uncultured bacterium. RNAcentral describes it as "partial 16S ribosomal RNA". It matches the Rfam family "Bacterial small subunit ribosomal RNA", at positions 524 to 776 of the family's 1533-position model. The record is from RNAcentral.